GAUGAACGCUGGCGGUCUGCUUAACACAUGCAAGUCGAACGAAACUCUUCGGAGUGAGUGGGCGGACGGGUGAGUAACGCGUGAGAAUCUGCCUGUGGUCGGGGACAACCACUGGAAACGGUGGGCUAAUACCGGAUGAGCCGAAAGGUAAAAAGAUUUAUUGCCCACAGAUGAAGCGUCGCGUCUGAUUAGCUAGUUGUAAGUAAAAGCGUACCAAGGCGACGAUCAGUAGCUGGUCUGAGAGGAAUGAGCAGCCACACUGGGACUGAGACACGGCCCAGACUCCUACGGGAGGCAGCAGUGGGAAUUUUCCGCAAUGGCGAAAGCCUGACGAGCAAGACCGCGUGGGGAGAAGGUUUUUGGAUCGUAAACCCUUUGUCAAGGAAGAAGC
RNAcentral lists this ribosomal RNA (391 nucleotides) under uncultured bacterium. RNAcentral's name for it is "bacterial SSU rRNA". It matches the Rfam family "Bacterial small subunit ribosomal RNA", at positions 28 to 451 of the family's 1533-position model. The record is from RNAcentral.